Molecule: long non-coding RNA, 262 nt
Organism: Diceros bicornis minor
Lineage: Eukaryota; Metazoa; Chordata; Mammalia; Perissodactyla; Rhinocerotidae
Exons: 3
Source: RefSeq, a predicted model, not a curated record
UUGGGCACAACCUGAAGACCCUCACAGUCACCUUCCCCAUCUCCACCCUCUGGUAUUCAUCAGACAGGAGCAAUGGCUCAGCCACGUUCAACUCCAUUGAGAUGGUCCUGCAGAGCCUGCUGGAUCUUUGUUCAAGAGGAGCAGCCUGGGUCCCUUCUACUCGAGUUGCAGACUGGUCUCCCUCAGGCCUGAGAAGGAUGGGGCAGCCACCAGUGUGACGCCGUCUGCACCCACCACCCUGAUCCCGUGGGCCACCAUGCCU